RNAcentral lists this ribosomal RNA (301 nucleotides) under uncultured bacterium. RNAcentral's name for it is "partial 16S ribosomal RNA". It matches the Rfam family "Bacterial small subunit ribosomal RNA", at positions 510 to 808 of the family's 1533-position model. The record is from RNAcentral.
CGUAGCCGCGGUAAUACGUAGGUGGCAAGCGUUGCUCGGAAUUACUGGGCGUAAAGGGAGCGUAGGCGGAUCGUUUAGUCAGGGGUGAAAUCCCGGGGCUCAACCUCGGAACCGCCUUUGAUACUGGCGAUCUUGAGUAUGGGAGAGGUGUGUGGAACUCCGAGUGUAGAGGUGAAAUUCGUAGAUAUUCGGAAGAACACCAGUGGCGAAGGCGACACACUGGCCCAUUACUGACGCUGAGGCUCGAAAGCGUGGGGAGCAAACAGGAUUAGAUACCCCCGUAGUCCCUGUCUCUUAUACA